ACCUGUCACGCCGUGGUCACUUGCCCUUUCUUUUGUGUCAUCAGUCUGACGUCAUCCGUGUUCCCUGAUUGUUUCCACCUGUUCCCUAUCAUCUCAUCCGCAUAAGGGAGGGGGAUGAGUUGAAGACUGGUUUUAACACUCCCAGUGGACACUAUGAGUAUUUAGUCAUGCCAUUUGGUCUCACCAAUGCUCCUGCUGUAUUUCAAGCCAUGACAAAUGAUGUGCUAAGAGACUUCCUAGACCAUUUUAUUUACGUGUACCUUGAUGACAUUUUAAUUUAUUCUACAAACAAUGAGACUCACAAGGUCCACGUGACCAAGGUCCUUAAAAGGCUACAAGAGAACCAGCUAUUUGUCAAAGCCGAAAAGAGUGAGUUUUAUGCCAACACUAUCGCUUCUUGGGCUUUAUCGUAGCUCCUGGAGGAGUUAAAGUUAAAGUUAGCGCCGUAGCCGACUGGCCUACUCCUGAUAGCCGGAAGAGGGUUCAACAGUUCUUGGGGUGCUGUUCCGCUGGUCUCCAGAGGCUGAAAGGGCGUUCCAGAACCUCAAGCAUCGCUUCACUUCAGCUCCCAUCCUCACCAUGCCAGAUCCCCAACGCCAGUUUGUGGUAGAGGUGGAUGCCUCCAACAAAGUAAUCGGAGCCGUCCUCUCCCAACGAUCGGAGAAGGAUGGUAAAAUGCAUCCCUGCGCCUUCCUGUCAAGACGCCUAUCCAAAGCUGAGAGGAAUUUGGAUGUUGGUAACCGUGAGCUGUUGGUGGUCAAAAUAUCUCUGGACGAGUGGAGGCACUGGCUAGAGGGGGCCAGUUUCCCGUUCAUUGUCGGGACUAACCAUAAAAAUCUUGAGCCAGGGUCCCGAAACGUCAAACCAGAUGCCCUGUCUCGAAUGUUCGACCCCGAGCCUGUUGCCAAGGUACCUGAAACUAUCCUUCCACUUACCCGUGUGGUUGGAGUAGUCACCUGGCAAAUAGAAGAUGAGGUGAUCCACUGGGCUCACACCUCCCUGCUUUCAUGCCACCUGGGAGUUCGGAGAACGAUGUUCGCCAAUCAACUCUCUGCGGUUUUGGUGGCCAUCCAUGGAGCCGGAGGUACGAGAGUACGUGGAGGCAUGUUCGGUCUGCGCUCGGAACAAGACGUCCUCUGGAUCCCGUAUGGGCCUAUUGCAGCACCUACCCAUUCCCUCCAGACCUUGGUCCGACAUUUCCAUGGACUUCCUUACGGGGCUCCCGGUCUCUCAAGGUAACACCACCGGCCUCACGGUGGUGGACCGUUUCACCAAAAUGGUGAGAUUCAUUGCCUUGCCUAAGCUGCCCUCUGCCAAUGAGACAGCAGAAAUCAUGAUAAACAAUAUUUUUAAGAUUCAUGGCUUCCCUAAAGACAUUGUCUCCGACCGGGGGCCCCAGUUCGUGUCACGUUUUUGGAAGGAGUUCUGCAGGCUCAUCGGAGCUAAGGCCAGCCUGACUUCAGGUUAUCACCCAGAGGCCAACGGCUCGACCAAACGCCUCAAUCAACAACUGGAAAACUUCCUCCGGUGCCUGGUGUCCCAAAACCCCCCUACAUGGAGCAAACACCUGGUCUGGUCUUUCCAGACAAUGAGCUGGAAGUGUCGGUCCCCUCGGCACAUGCCAUGGUCCGACGCUGCCGACACAGCUGGGCAGCAGCUCGUCAGGUGCUGAUUCAACAAGGAGACCGAGUGAAGAGGCGACCCGCCCCUGCAUAUUGACCAGGGCAGAGAGUAUGGCUCUCAGCCAACAAAACAAAGUUUUGUUGGCUGAGAGCCUGUCUGCACCUGGAAGCCUGUCUGCACCUGGAAGCCUUCCCCAAUGUUCUUCGUCAAGGGUGACGCUUCCGGGAAGACGGCAUGGCGUCAUCUUCGGACCAAAUGGAUCUUAUUGCGCGCAGCACCGCCAACGAAGCCUUGUCCAAAUGAUCAUCUGCGAAGGAGCUCUUAUGCUGGGAUCUUUCUGUCAGGCUAGGACAUGGAUUGAGUGUGCUCCUUCGACGCAGAGGGAUUACAGGACGAGCCAGGCGUGAAUUAAGGUACAUGAUGUUUUAUUUGGAAUUCUAAAUAAAAAAAUAAACAAACUAAGGGCGCUCAUAUGAAGGUAUAAAACUUGGCUACAAAAUAUAAACAGGAAACAAAAACAGUUGCUCGAUAGGCAUGAAUGAACUAUGAACAGAAACAGCACGAUGGCAUGACUAUAAACAACUAAAACUAAACACUUACUGUGACAACAAAAACAAGAGGCAAGAAUAGCAAGGUGCGUGGCAGGUGAUCGUGCGCAUGGAGAAUGAGCAGCAAGGUUGUAGAUUACAAUGAAAGUUAGAACGGCAUGGGUAAUGAAAGUUAAUGUUCCCAGACUGAUGGACAGAAAGAAAUUGACUUAAAUAGUGGCUGUGAAUAAUUAGGAACAGGUGCGGGACUGAGGGCAUGGGCGUGACUAGGAGGGCAAGGUGAAAAGCAAUGAGUUGUCAUGGUAACAGAACAAACCAGGAAGUGAAAAAACGGAACAAGAGUCCAGAAAAAGAAACAAAACAUGAUCAAACUUAAAAUCAGAUUUACAGGUGUGACACAAAUAUGCUUAUAUUUUCGCUCUACAUUGAUAAAAAAAGGACUUUUUUUAUUAAUCACUCCAACAAAAUCAUACACAAUACUACGAUAAUAGCACAAUUUCAAUUCCAAAACCAAACUAAAGGCCAGAGGGGACAGAGCCUUUUCCAUUGCCGCCCCUCAGCUCUGGAACAGCCUUCCCCUUCACAUUAGGUCAGCCCAGAGCCUGGGAAUUUCAAAACCCUUCUUUAAGACCUUCCUCUUCUCGCUGGCCUUUGACCUUAGCUGAGCCUGCCCACUAGGCCACCAUUUUCUAGUCCUACCCCCACACCCCUUUGCUUUAGUUUUAUUUUUCUAUAUGUCGCAUUUUUUAUUACUCACUCCCACUCACUCACUCAUCCUAUGGCCUAGGAGGCCGUAGGGGUGUCAUGGUGGAUGCUUGGGCUGUCAGUGAUCUCCAGCACUCAAAAUCUUCUGCUGUUCGUAGCAGGGUUUGGAAGCUGCAGCCAGUCCAUUCUUUGAUGUUGUCCAUCCAGGCCUUUCUCUGCCUGCCUCGUCUCCGCUUCCCCUCUACUGUUCCCUGCAGGAUGGUCUUUGACAGGGAGGUGUGCCUUGUGACAUGGCCAAACCAGGUCAGCUUGCGACGUUUAACCGUUGAGAGUAGAGGUUCCUGUUCGCCAGCACGGGUGGACUGUAUCCUGCGCUCUGUGUCCACUGUGAGCGUCCAUCUCUCACAACCAUAGAGUAGGGUUCGUAAGAACAAGUGACUUGUAGAGUCUGACCGUCACCUGGAAACUGAUGGUAUUUCUUUUCCAUAUACUGGUCAGUCUUGUCAUGGCUGAUGUUGCUAUGCCUAUUAUUGCUCUGAUCUCUUUUGUGGAGCUGCCAUCUUCACUCACAAAGGACCCAAGGUACUUAAAGUCCUUUUCUUCCUCCAGGGUUUGUCCAUUCAAUGUGAUAUUUGGUGGUGGUAAGUGAUUGUGACUGUUGACCAGGAUCUUGCUCUUCUCUGCACUUAUCUCCACUUAUCCAUCUAUAUCUUAUAUUUUUAGUACUAUGGUUUUUAUUUAACAAAUGUUUUACUUUUUAUUCAACCCCUUUUACCGUAUUGCUUUUUACACUAUUUUUUUCAGCUUAUUCAUUGGUUAUGUUCUUUGUUUGUUUUCUGUUUCUGUUGCUCUAUGCUUUUUUUUUUUUUUUACCUGUAAAGCACUUUGGUUCAAUUUAAAAGUUGUUGUAAACGUGCUAUAUAAAUAAACUUGACUUGACUUGACGUGACUUGACUUGACUUGACUUGACUUGACAAACCCGGCCCAGCAACAUGCAGAAUAGAAAUCAACAGAGCAAUUGAGAAGACACACAAACAUGACACAAAACAAUCCGAAAUAAGUCAAACAAAAAUAAAGGAUAUCACAGUAUCAAUAUUAAUACAAAUUCCAACAUGGCAGUGAUUAGAAAUCCCUCAUUUACAUUAUCAUCACAGCCAUUUAUAAGAAAUGAAAUACAAACAUUUAAAAAUUAACAAUAGUUCCACAGUGGCUUACGCUUGCUCAGGUGUCUUGUGGUUAGAGUGUCCGCCCUGAGAUCGGUAGGUUGUGAGUUCAAACCAAAAACUAUAAAAUGGGACCCAUUACCUCCCUUCUUGGCACUCAGCACCAAGGGAUGGAAUUCGGGCUUAUAUCACCAAAAUGAUUCCAGAGCUCUGCCUCCGCUGCUGCUUACUGCUCCCCUCACCUCCCAGGGGGUGGAACAAGGGGAUGGGUCAAAUGCAGUGAGUAAUAUCACCACACCUAGUGACUAUCAGUGGUAUUUUAACUUGCAUCGCAUCCCAUCUCAUAAGCUUGACAAGCUUGUAUCCAAUAUUUUCCACAAAGAUAAAAUAAGUAAUAUUUUAGACUCAUUUAAUAGUUUAAACCAAAAAAAUAAUAAUAAUAAAAAAUAAAAAGAGAGCUCAACAUGCUCUUUUCUUACUGUUGCUCGUCAUGUUCCCUUUGGUCCCGCCUUCGGAAAUAACGUCAUGGACGCUUCCGAAUGGCUAAAAUUGCCUUGCAGUCCCCUGCUGUGUAUGCGGAACAGAGAUCGUUUUUGAUCAUGCAGCACACGUGUGUUUUAACGCCUUGUAAAAGUAUCCUCGCACAUUUUGAUGUGGCGUUAAUACUCAACGUGCGGCGUUUGUUGGAAGCUGAGGCCCCUAUACGCCAGUGACGUGCUGUCAGGGGAGGCAAGUGAGGCAGUGCCUCACCUGCCAUCAGGUGGCUUAACCAUGAGAUGUUCCAAAAAAAAGUAAUAAAAUGAAAUAAGUUUUAAUACUUCUCUUUUGGUUUAUGCUUUCUAUGUGAUUUUGGCGUGGUUCCUGUAUAUUUUGAUAAUUUUCAUGGUCAAAAUUGCGGAAAUUCAUGUUUCCUGAGCAAAACAAUGCAGCAGAUGAGAAGUGAGGCAGACACUGGCGGUGCCUCCACCACUACACACAGUGUGUAUUGGGCGUGCGUGAGAGGGGGCGCAUGCUUGUUGCCACGUGGAAAAGGCAGGUCUUGAGGCAGCAAGUGCCUCUGCCUCAAAGCUAGGGAGCGAUACAUUGUCAACUUGCAGUUCAAUGCCUCAGCAAUAGUCUGACUUGCCACACUUUUUUGUCAGAUGCAAAAAUAUUGUUUAAUUUCUUGGAAUGAAAUUUAAUUAAAAGAAUGUUUCUGCCAAUAUAGAGGAUUAUAUACUGUAUGCAAGAUUAAAUACUUCUCUAAAAUGGACUUUAAGAUAAAACGAAUGUGAUCAUACAAAGUACGUUUUCAUGGAGGAUAGCUAUUGCUCCUUCAGAUUCAAAUACAGAAAGGUAAUAUACACUUACAAUACUUGAUUUAUUUUGCUAAAAGCAAAUGGGACCAAAAAGUAUUCAACAACAACUUUAUCAAAUAGUUUUUGGACCAAUUUAUCAUAUCAUAAUAUGAUUAUGAUAAAGUUUUUAUGAAAGCGAAUAACUCCCUUUUUUUCCUGUAAAUUUAAUGUGCAACCUAAAUCGACAAUGACUAGAGCUGCACAUAUGAAUUUAAGUUAAAAAAAAAAAGAAGAAGAAAAAAAAGUAUGCAUGCCUCACCUAUGCUAUACGCAUAGGCAUAGUCUGCAUAGUAGGAACGCGACCUUACUUUACAUAACACCCUGCACAGGUUGGGUCUAGUGAUUGCUCAACGCGGAACCACAAGUCACGUGUUUCGCAAGUAUCAGGUGAGGCGGUGUUCUGGGUGAGGGUUUGUCCCCUUGUGCAAUAUAAGAGGUCUGAGAGGUGUAGUCUUGCUGUCCUCCAUUGACAUCUGCAGCAGCAUUUUGAACGACACUGAAAUCCAGACCACUUUGCCAACAUGACCCACGACAUGAAACAGCCACCGAAGCUAAUAUGUGGAAUGGUCCUACUCCAGGAAUGCUUCUAUGAGCAUGCAAAAAAAAGUGGAGACCCCAAUACUUUAACCAAGGGAGAUUUUGCUGAAAUGCUUCGCAAAGACUGCUGCAUGGAUGUCAAGGACGACGACAAAAAGAAGAGCUUCUUCGAUUCUCUGGAUGUCAAUGGGGAUGGUGUUAUCGACUUCACCGAGUUUUGUGUUCUCAUGGCGUCUUUUAUGACGAUAAUGGAGUCUUUGAGACCAUAAUAAAGAAAAAAACACAUCUGGAA
Nerophis ophidion (straightnose pipefish) is the source of this 6205-nucleotide long non-coding RNA. RefSeq lists it as uncharacterized. The record is from RefSeq and is a predicted model, not a curated record. The transcript has 10 exons. NCBI's taxonomy places the organism in Eukaryota, Metazoa, Chordata, Actinopteri, Syngnathiformes, Syngnathidae.